This is a non-coding RNA of Myotis brandtii (Brandt's bat), 75 nucleotides long. Lineage: Eukaryota; Metazoa; Chordata; Mammalia; Chiroptera; Vespertilionidae. The record is from Rfam.
AGCAGUUCUCGGGUGAUGCACCCCAAAAUCAGGCUCCCUCCUCUCUGGUUCUAGGUGUGUCACCCAUGAACUGCA